Telopea speciosissima is the source of this 546-nucleotide RNA transcript. It is a transcript of the gene named glycerol-3-phosphate acyltransferase 9-like, with no coding region annotated. The record is from RefSeq and is a predicted model, not a curated record. The transcript is spliced from 4 exons. NCBI's taxonomy places the organism in Eukaryota, Viridiplantae, Streptophyta, Magnoliopsida, Proteales, Proteaceae.
GUGUGCACAGUUAUGGCUAUGCUAUGAGAUCUUGAAUGCUUCUAUUAUGCAGGCAAUCCUUUACAAUGCAUCUGCUACGCCUUAUGACAUCAUGGGCUGUUGUUUGCAAUGUGUGGUACUUGGAGCCACAAAAUCUCAGACCUGGAGAGACAUCCAUUGAAUUUGCAGAGAGAGUCAGGGACAUAAUUUCAGUUCGAGCAGGUAUUAAAAAGGUCCCUUGGGAUGGAUAUCUGAAGUACUCUCGCCCUAGCCCAAAGCAUACAGAGCGAAAGCAACAGAUAUUUGCUGAGUCAGUACUGAAGCGCCUGGAGGAAAAGUGAUUUGACAUGUUUAUAAAACUGGGGAAAUACGCAAUCCCUAUCAAUUAUUGUGAUCAGCGUACUCAUGUCAAGUUUGGCAAAUUUUCUAGUGGGGAAAACCAAUAGCAAAUCAAGGGCAAAUCAAUGCACUACACCAACAAAACUUUAGAAACAUAAGAACAUCUUAUAUAGUUUGUACUUCCUUUUUGUGGUGGUUCUAUGGUAAGAAACUGUCAUGGGGUUCUCG